GCAUUGGAGAAAGAAAUGGCAACCCACUCCAGUGUUCUUUCCUGGAGAAUCCCAGAACAGGGGAGCCUGGUGGGCUGCCGUCUAUGGGGUCGCACAGAGUCGGGCACAACUGAUGUGACUUAGCAGCAACAGCAGCAGCAACAGCCUUCUCUGUGAGAAAGCAACAUAAAAAGAGGAAACCAUCAGUGGAGCUCCUUUGCUUCCUUCGAUUAGAGAAUCAAAUCUGUGAGCCAGAUCUUAAGUUCGAGGGCUGUACAAAUAGAUGUGCGCAUUCCUGGAGUCUGAAAAAGUUCAAAAACAUUAUGAUAGCAGAGAAGGCAAUGGCACACCACUCCAGUACUCUUGCCUGGAAAAUCCCAUGGACGGAGGAGCCUGGUGAGCUGCAGUCCGUGGGGUCACUAGGAGUCGGACACGACUAAGUGACUUCACUUGCACUUUUCACUUUCAUGCAUUGGAGAAGGAAAUGGCCACCCACUCCAGGGUUCUUGCCUGGAGAAUCCCAGGGACGGGGGAACCUGGUGGGCUGCCGUCUAUGGGGUUGCACAGAGUCGGACACGACUGAGGCAACUUAGCAGCAGCAGCAGCA
Molecule: long non-coding RNA, 586 nt
Filed under: Capra hircus (goat)
Lineage: Eukaryota; Metazoa; Chordata; Mammalia; Artiodactyla; Bovidae
Description: lncRNA (ENSCHIG00000000848.1)
Source: RNAcentral